CUAAGAAUAUUCCGCAAUGGACGGAAGUCUGACGGAGCGACGCCGCGUGGAUGAAGAAGGCCGAAAGGUUGUAAAGUUCUUUUGCUGGGGAAGAAUAACCGCAGGAGGGAAUGCCUGUGGGAUGACAAGAACCGGCGAAUAAGCCCCGGCCAACUACGUGCCAGCAGCCGCGGUAACACGUAGGGGGGCGAGCGUUGUUCGGAAUUACUGGGCGUAAAGGGCAUGUAGGCGGUUUGGAAAGCCUGGCGUGAAAGUCUGCAGCUUAACUGCAGGGGUGCGCUGGGAACUGCUGAGCUUGAGUGACGGAGAGGGAGCUGGAAUUCCUGGUGUAGGGGGUGAAAUCUGUAGAUAUCAGGAAGAACACCGAUGGCGAAGGCAAGCUCCUGGCCGAUGACUGACGCUGAGGUGCGAAAGUGUGGGGAUCAAAACAGGAUUAGAUACCCUGAUAGUCCACACAGUCAACGAUGUGCACUAGGUGCUGGGGCGGUAGCUUCGGUGCCGGAGCG
This 506-nucleotide ribosomal RNA is filed under the name uncultured bacterium. RNAcentral's name for it is "partial 16S ribosomal RNA". It matches the Rfam family "Bacterial small subunit ribosomal RNA", at positions 355 to 853 of the family's 1533-position model. The record is from RNAcentral.